CAAGCUGGCGGCGUGCCUAAUACAUGCAAGUCGAGCGGAUCUUCAUUAGCUUGCUUUUGAAGAUCAGCGGCGGACGGGUGAGUAACACGUGGGCAACCUGCCUGUAAGACUGGGAUAACUUCGGGAAACCGGAGCUAAUACCGGAUAAUCCUUUUCCUCACAUGAGGGAAAGCUGAAAGACGGUUUCGGCUGUCACUUACAGAUGGGCCCGCGGCGCAUUAGCUAGUUGGUGAGGUAACGGCUCACCAAGGCAACGAUGCGUAGCCGACCUGAGAGGGUGAUCGGCCACACUGGGACUGAGACACGGCCCAGACUCCUACGGGAGGCAGCAGUAGGGAAUCUUCCGCAAUGGACGAAAGUCUGACGGAGCAACGCCGCGCGAACGAUGAAGGCUUUCGGGUCGUAAAGUUCUGUUGUUAGGGAAGAACAAGUAUCGGAGUAACUGCCGGUACCUUGACGGUACCUAACCAGAAAGCCACGGCUAACUACGUGCCAGCAGCCGCGGUAAUACGUAGGUGGCAAGCGUUGUCCGGAAUUAUUGGGCGUAAAGCGCGCGCAGGCGGUUCCUUAAGUCUGAUGUGAAAGCCCCCGGCUCAACCGGGGAGGGUCAUUGGAAACUGGG
This 622-nucleotide ribosomal RNA is filed under the name uncultured Gram-positive bacterium. RNAcentral's name for it is "bacterial SSU rRNA". It matches the Rfam family "Bacterial small subunit ribosomal RNA", at positions 32 to 637 of the family's 1533-position model. The record is from RNAcentral.